Molecule: ribosomal RNA, 253 nt
Filed under: uncultured bacterium
Lineage: Bacteria
Description: partial 16S ribosomal RNA
Rfam family: Bacterial small subunit ribosomal RNA
Source: RNAcentral
UACAGAGGUCCCGAGCGUUGUUCGGAUUCAUUGGGCGUAAAGGGUGCGUAGGCGGUCUGCUAAGUUUGAUAUGAAAUCCCGGGGCUCAACCCUGGAAUUGCAUUGAAUACUGGUGGACUAGAGUACUGGAGAGGAAACUGGAAUUUACGGUGUAGCAGUGAAAUGCGUAGAGAUCGUAAGGAAGACCAGUGGCGAAGGCGAGUUUCUGGACAGUAACUGACGCUGAGGCACGAAGGCCAGGGGAGCAAACGGG